CGAAGCCGGGUGGUGCGUGGGGUGUCCCAAGUGGUGUGGCUGGGGUCGCCGCGGUUCCCCACCCCCGUCCCCCCCCCCGCGCCCCCCGCCACGGGCUUGGGGUCGUGCCCCGGGUGUGCGCGUGCGGGGCAGUGUGCCGGGGCUCACCUGGCAGCGUGGGGGAGCGGCGCGGCGGCGGCGGCGGCGGCGGCCAGAGCGGGGAGCAGGUGCACUUGAAGAAUGGAUGAUGAUGAUUUUGGUGGCUUUGAGGCUGCAGAGAUUUUUGAUGGUGGAAAUGGUGAAACCCAAACUACAUCUCCUGCCAUUCCUUGGGCUGCUUUUCCUACAGUAUCUGGAGUCCAUCUUUCUCCAGCUUCUCCUGAGAUUGUACUAGACCAUGACCACUCUCCUUCAGUUGGCUGCCUCUCUUCUGAGCCCAUCAUUUCAUCACCAGAGAAUACACAUGCAGACAACAGCAUUGUCAGUCAAACUGUUCCCAAAGCACAGAUUCAGCAAUCAACACACACUCAUCUGGAUAUCUCACUUUUUCCAUUGGGUUUAAAUGAUGAGAAAAGUAAUGGAACAAUUGCCCUUGUGGAUGAUUCUGAGGAUCCUGGAGCCAAUGUAUCAAACAUACAGCUUCAGCAGAAAAUUUCAAGUCUGGAGAUUAAACUCAAAGUUUCUGAAGAAGAAAAACAGAGAAUUAAAAAGGAUGUGGAAUCAUUGAUGGAAAAGCACAGUGUCUUAGAAAAAGAUUUUCUUAAAGAAAAAGAGCAAGAGGCCAUUUCUUUUCAAGAUAGAUACAAAGAACUUCAGGAAAAACAUAAACAAGAAUUGGAAGACAUGAGGAAAGCUGGUCACGAAGCUCUCAGCAUUAUUGUGGAUGAAUAUAAGGCACUACUACAGUCUUCAGUUAAGCAGCAAGUAGAAGCUAUUGAAAAACAGUACAUUUCUGCAAUUGAGAAACAAGCACACAAGUGUGAAGAGCUGUUAAAUACUCAGCAUCAGAGACUCCUUGAAAUGCUAGAUACAGAGAAGGAACUAUUAAAAGAAAAAAUAAAGGAAGCUUUGAUUCAGCAAUCUCAAGAACAGAAGGAUAUACUGGAAAAAUGUUUAGAAGAAGAAAGGCAAAGAAAUAAAGAGGCAUUAGUAUCUGCUGCAAAGCUUGAGAAAGAAGAAAUGAAGGAUGCAGUUUUAAAAGCCAUAGAAGAAGAAAGAAAAAGUUUGGAAAAAGUCCAUGCUGAAGAAAGGGAGUUAUGGAAGACUGAGCAUGCAAAAGAUCAAGAAAAAGUAUCUCAGGCAAUUCAAAAAGCUAUACAAGAACAAAGAAAAAUAAGUCAGGAAACUGUUAAGGCAGCAAUAAUAGAAGAGCAGAAGCGAAGUGAAAAGGCUGUGGAAGAGGCAGUGAAGAGAACAAGAGACGAAUUGAUAGAGUAUGUAAAAGAACAGAAAAGAAGAAAACCUCCUUGACAUUCUGUUCAUUGCUGAUUCAUAUGCACUGACAUGACCUCUCUGUGCUCCUGUCUUGCUUUGGAAGCCUUGUGCUCACUCUUUAAAGGAAGUCCAAUUAUUUAAUACAUGUGCACUCGAGUCUAUAACAGAACACAAAUUGAUGCCAGAAGGUGCAACAGCCAUCUUAUGACCAAAGAGAAAAAUAUAUAUAUAUGCUAUUUUAGGAAAAUAGUCUGGUUCCUGGACUGCUUACUCCCAGAAGCUAUCGUGCAUCUAAUAAUAAAUUCUUCUUCAAGCCACUGUUUGCCAGAUUUCUGUACUCACAGCUGAACACACUUCUGACUGAGAAGAAGGGUUGGGAUUUGCAUAAGUAAAAAUAUAGAGGAAAAUGCCAAGCAUCAAAUCACAAGUGGCAUCAACAAUAUGAACAUACAAUUCAGAAUCAGAAAUGGAUGUCACUUAUUUGAACACCAGCUUGAUCAAGUCAUCCGCCAAAGAAGCCUGUCCAGUUUGGAACUGUUCCUCUCUUGUGCUCAGAAACAGUUAAGUGCUUUAAUAGCUACAGAACCAGUUGACAUUGAAUAAAGAGAACAUGACAAGCUAACCCACACUGGCAAUGGAUAAAUCAUUAGACCUCUAAAAUACAUGCUGUGAAUUAUAAAGAUGCUUUUGUUUUCCUUCCAAACCUUGGAGAAUUGAUUUCCACUUCAAGGGUAAACCAAACCAAUAUUUAGAAGAACUAUCACGAGAUCUAAUUUAUUUUUCUUUUGUUUUUUCCUUUAUAUUUACUGUCAUUUUCUUAGUAGCAGUAAUUGUAGUAGUAGCAGCAACAGAAAGUAUGAUGUGACCCAAAAGCCAUUGAAAAUUGCCACAUGACCGAAAGCUAAUUAAACUUCAUAGCCGCUGGUGGCCUAUUAUACCAUAUUUGGCAAAAGUAGUAAAUAUCUUCACUUAUUGCUUCACAGUGACUCUUGAUAAGAUUCUAGAAUGUAAUCGUACAUUUAUUUGAUUUUGAGAAUAGAAACAGCAUGGACUUCAACAUCACUUAUUUAUCUAUGUAACUUUGAUAUAAAACAUUGAUAGGACAAAGAAACAUUCUGAUAUUACCAGACCCCUUUUCUGUAGUGGGAUCUAUGUAUUUUCAUUGGUGGCAAUUAAAAAUACUGAACAUUAUUAUAUUAAUUCAGCUUUGAUCUGAGGUACUGCUUAAAGGGGUAUGUGUGUGAUAUAUGCUUAUUUCCUGUUUCUGUUCUUCAAAGUCACUAUAAAUCAAUAAAAUCAUCUUUCUUACUAAUCAUAUCGUGAACUAAAUCUCUAGACAGAUAAUAUAACUUAGCCAUUUUGUAGAAAUUCAGGUUCAAAUAUAAAAGAGAUAAAAUCCUUUCCCAGUACUUCAGAAUGUAUUUAAUCAUGAGCAAUGUACUUUAAUGCAAAAUCAUGAGUUUUUUUAACAUCAAGACUAAAAUACUGUCAUUGAAAUGUAUACAAACAUUUUGUCUUGCUUUCUGAAAUGCUUCUAUUUCCAUGGGCUUUGUACUUUUCUGGGAUUUCUCAGUGUAAUAAAAAGAACUCCAAAAACUCA
Molecule: RNA transcript, 3013 nt
Organism: Canis lupus familiaris (dog)
Lineage: Eukaryota; Metazoa; Chordata; Mammalia; Carnivora; Canidae
Gene: CCDC91
Gene name: coiled-coil domain containing 91
Exons: 15
Source: RefSeq, a predicted model, not a curated record